UACGUAGGGCGCAAGCGUUGUCCGGAUUUAUUGGGCGUAAGAGCUCGUAGGCGGUCUGUCGCGCGGCUGUGAAAACCCGAGGCUCAACCUCGGGCCUGCAGUCGAUACGGGCAGACUAGAGUGUGGUAGGGGAGACUGGAAUCCUGGUGUAGCGGUGAAUGCGCAGAUAUCAGGAGGGAACACCGGUGGCGAAGGCGGGUCUCUGGGCCGAAUAACUGACGCUGGAGGAGCGA
RNAcentral lists this ribosomal RNA (233 nucleotides) under uncultured bacterium. RNAcentral describes it as "partial 16S ribosomal RNA". It matches the Rfam family "Bacterial small subunit ribosomal RNA", at positions 524 to 756 of the family's 1533-position model. The record is from RNAcentral.